CCUACGGGGGGCAGCAGUGGGGGAUAUUGCACAAUGGGGGAAACCCUGAUGCAGCGACGCCGCGUGGGCGAAGAAGUAUUUCGGUAUGUAAAGCCCUGUCAGCAGGGAAGAAAAUGACGGUACCUGAGUAAGAAGCCCCGGCUAACUACGUGCCAGCAGCCGCGGUAAUACGUAGGGGGCAAGCGUGAUCCGGAUUUGCUGGGUGUAAGGGGGGCGCAGACGGCAGCGCAAGACAGGAGUGAAAGCCCGGGGCCCAACCCCCGGACUGCUCUGGAAACUGUACGGCUGGAGUGCAGGAGAGGUAAGUGGAAUUCCUAGUGUAGCGGUGAAAUGCGUAGAUAUUAGGAGGAACACCAGUGGCGAAGGCGGCUUACUGGACUGUAACUGACGUUGAGGCUCGAAAGCGUGGGGAGCAAACAGGAUUAGAUACCCGGGUAGUC
Molecule: ribosomal RNA, 440 nt
Filed under: uncultured bacterium
Lineage: Bacteria
Description: partial 16S ribosomal RNA
Rfam family: Bacterial small subunit ribosomal RNA
Source: RNAcentral